Long non-coding RNA from Triplophysa rosa, 1904 nucleotides. RefSeq lists it as uncharacterized. The record is from RefSeq and is a predicted model, not a curated record. The transcript is spliced from 4 exons. Lineage: Eukaryota; Metazoa; Chordata; Actinopteri; Cypriniformes; Nemacheilidae.
AAUACGGCCACCAAACCACGGAAAUGACUGGUCAUGUCAAAAAAUCACAGCCUUCAUUUCACCGACAGAGAAGAGCAGAAUCCAAACUCGCCAAAAAAAGCAAGCAUUUUGGAUGAAAGCAAUACACUACACAAGCUUGCCCAUCAGCCGCUCAGCUAGGUCAACAAGCAUCCUGAUCUUUCCUGAAGCCAACCGUCAAUUACCACACAGACACAUGGCCUUCUUGCUGUCUUAAAUCAAGCGUCCGACACGCCGCAGAGUGACACAUAUCAAUACCAAUCUGACAGGCCCUGUUGCCACCUCAGCUACAGAAGAGACAAGCUGCACCUGCCUCACCGUGGGACAUGUGUCUGUUCACCACAUCCCCCCGCAGACACACACACACACGUCACUGGUUUCUGUAUUUGCUGAGUGCCCUGUGCUAUUUUCUGAAGCCCAUUAUUAUAUUCAUUUCAGAAUGGCGUCUGAAGCCUGUUGGUCUGGUACCUGGGGCUGCGGAGCCCUGCUGCUGUACAGUGAUUUGUCGUGACAUUCUGACAGCGGCCGGGGAGAGAGGGCAUGAGAGGAAAAGAACAAGGGCUGAACAGAGCCUCAGCUGGCCCGGGCUCUGGGUGGCUGCUGGGUGUUCCUCUCACCCGUGUUAGAGGGGCAGGUGUCACUACGACGGUGACGGGCAUCAGUCAGACUGGAGCUUCAUCUGACUGGAGAGGAUCAAUCUCGUACCUUAAUGCAAGUGGACACGACACAUACAGAUUCCAGAUGCAGGACGGAUGAAGUGGAGAAGAUGAGGGGUGAUUAACAACAUGACGCUGAGAACAUCUCCCCCUUCUCACAAGCAAGCCACCUCCCUCUCUGACAUCCUCGGACCAUCGCCUGCUCGGCGCACAUCCCCUGACAGUUGUACACACCACCGUGUCGGCACGCUUGACUUCCUGCACUGGUCAGAUGGGGGCGCUGCAGUGUCAGGUUUGCGUGACAGCACGCCGAGCUCUCGUUCUCCAGGCCCUGGGCAUAUGCUGCCUGCUCACAUCAUUAUUGUCUUUAUACACUGAGUAAUCACUACACUUUAUGAUAAUGCAGCAGAAAUUUACAAGCUGGGGAAAGUCUCUAAUAAUGGCAUUAACAGAGAAAGCCACAGCAGCUCUCAGCCCGACGGGGGCUCGGCGCUCAAAGGGAGAGCUGCUCGCUCGAAAUGUCACUGUGAAAUAUGACUCGUCUCCUGGAUUAUACAUCAUACUCAUUCUCUCUCCUCUCUUCGCAUGUCCUUUCUUCUCCCCCGCAAAUAAAUGACGAAAAACCCAGCCAUUUGUGAUGAUCAACUCCAAACAAAUCCGUACCCCAGAGAGCAGGAAAAGGUGACUAGCUGGUUAAAUUUUGUUAAGCACGAACCCGGAGAACAUUCGCUGGGCCGAGUGUGUCCAGCGCAUCCUCAAAAUGCCUGAUCAGGCCCGCGAUCUAAUUACCAGCACUGCGAAAGAGAUAUACCGAGAUGGAGUGAGACAGACAGAAGGAGAGAGAGAGGGAGACUGAGUCAAAGAUCAGUGUAAACACCAGUGCUUUUUAUCUUCUUAUAUAUCUGGACAAGAAGACAAAGUGCUAAAACGAAAUAAAUGUGGCCUGACAGCCACUUCAAAGAGUUCAGCCAGGGGCUUACUGCUACUUAAAGCGCAGGAAUGUUGUUGCUAAGCAUCAGCCUACAACCUAUCAGGCCCAACACAAGGGCCUGCGCUUUCCCUUUAAGAGCGAAGCAGAGAAAGAGUGGAAAUUCGACAGUAACGGGAGGCUGGGGAUUCAAGGAGAUUUUGUAGCUUAAAGCAAUUGUUAGAAGAAACAAGCUUUCUGUUUUGUUUUCUCUUGACACCAUUUCAGCUUUUUGUGCUUGCAAAAGACAUGCAGUAAAUGUU